Molecule: ribosomal RNA, 1274 nt
Filed under: Corynebacterium sp. S13
Lineage: Bacteria; Bacillati; Actinomycetota; Actinomycetes; Mycobacteriales; Corynebacteriaceae
Description: bacterial SSU rRNA
Rfam family: Bacterial small subunit ribosomal RNA
Source: RNAcentral
UGCACUUCGGGAUAAGCCUGGGAAACUGGGUCUAAUACCGGAUAGGACCGCACCGUGAGGGUGUGGUGGAAAGUUUUUUCGGUGUGGGAUGGGCCCGCGGCCUAUCAGCUUGUUGGUGGGGUAAUGGCCUACCAAGGCGGCGACGGGUAGCCGGCCUGAGAGGGUGGACGGCCACAUUGGGACUGAGACACGGCCCAGACUCCUACGGGAGGCAGCAGUGGGGAAUAUUGCACAAUGGGCGGAAGCCUGAUGCAGCGACGCCGCGUGGGGGAUGACGGCCUUCGGGUUGUAAACUCCUUUCACCAUCGACGAAGGGUUUCUGACGGUAGAUGGAGAAGAAGCACCGGCUAACUACGUGCCAGCAGCCGCGGUAAUACGUAGGGUGCGAGCGUUGUCCGGAAUUACUGGGCGUAAAGAGCUCGUAGGUGGUUUGUCGCGUCGUCUGUGAAAUUCCGGGGCUUAACUCCGGGCGUGCAGGCGAUACGGGCAUAACUUGAGUACUGUAGGGGAGACUGGAAUUCCUGGUGUAGCGGUGAAAUGCGCAGAUAUCAGGAGGAACACCGGUGGCGAAGGCGGGUCUCUGGGCAGUAACUGACGCUGAGGAGCGAAAGCAUGGGGAGCGAACAGGAUUAGAUACCCUGGUAGUCCAUGCCGUAAACGGUGGGCGCUAGGUGUGGGUUUCCUUCCACGGGAUCCGUGCCGUAGCUAACGCAUUAAGCGCCCCGCCUGGGGAGUACGGCCGCAAGGCUAAAACUCAAAGGAAUUGACGGGGGCCCGCACAAGCGGCGGAGCAUGUGGAUUAAUUCGAUGCAACGCGAAGAACCUUACCUGGGCUUGACAUAUACAGGAUCGCGCCAGAGAUGGUGUUUCCCUUGUGGCUUGUAUACAGGUGGUGCAUGGUUGUCGUCAGCUCGUGUCGUGAGAUGUUGGGUUAAGUCCCGCAACGAGCGCAACCCUUGUCUUAUGUUGCCAGCACGUUGUGGUGGGGACUCGUAAGAAACUGCCGGGGUUAACUCGGAGGAAGGUGGGGAUGACGUCAAAUCAUCAUGCCCCUUAUGUCCAGGGCUUCACACAUGCUACAAUGGUCGGUACAGUGGGUUGCCAGUCCGUGAGGGCGAGCUAAUCCCGCAAAGCCGGUCUCAGUUCGGAUCGGGGUCUGCAACUCGACCCCGUGAAGUCGGAGUCGCUAGUAAUCGCAGAUCAGCAACGCUGCGGUGAAUACGUUCCCGGGCCUUGUACACACCGCCCGUCACGUCAUGAAAGUCGGUAACACC